GGUUAAGCGACUAAGCGUACACGGUGGAUGCCCUGGCAGUCAGAGGCGAUGAAGGACGUGCUAAUCUGCGAAAAGCGUCGGUAAGGUGAUAUGAACCGUUAUAACCGGCGAUGUCCGAAUGGGGAAACCCAGUGCAAUUCGUUGCACUAUCGUUAACUGAAUACAUAGGUUAACGAGGCGAACCGGGGGAACUGAAACAUCUAAGUACCCCGAGGAAAAGAAAUCAACCGAGAUUCCCCCAGUAGCGGCGAGCGAACGGGGAGCAGCCCAGAGUCUGAAUCAGCUUGUGUGUUAGUGGAACGGUCUGGAAAGUCCGACGGUACAGGGUGAUAGUCCCGUACACCAAAAUGCACAGGUUGUGAACUCGAAGAGUAGGGCGGGACACGUGGUAUCCUGUCUGAAUAUGGGGGGACCAUCCUCCAAGGCUAAAUACUCCUGACUGACCGAUAGUGAACCAGUACCGUGAGGGAAAGGCGAAAAGAACCCCGGCGAGGGGAGUGAAAAAGAACCUGAAACCGUGUACGUACAAGCAGUGGGAGCACCUUCGGGUGUGACUGCGUACCUUUUGUAUAAUGGGUCAGCGACUUAUAUUCUGUAGCAAGGUUAACCGGAUAGGGGAGCCGCAGGGAAACCGAGUCUUAACUGGGCGUUAAGUUGCAGGGUAUAGACCCGAAACCCGGUGAUCUAGCCAUGGGCAGGUUGAAGGUUGGGUAACACUAACUGGAGGACCGAACCGACUAAUGUUGAAAAAUUAGCGGAUGACUUGUGGCUGGGGGUGAAAGGCCAAUCAAACCGGGAGAUAGCUGGUUCUCCCCGAAAGCUAUUUAGGUAGCGCCUCGUGAAUUCAUCUUCGGGGGUAGAGCACUGUUUCGGCUAGGGGGUCAUCCCGACUUACCAACCCGAUGCAAACUACGAAUACCGAAGAAUGUUAUCACGGGAGACACACGGCGGGUGCUAACGUCCGUCGUGAAGAGGGAAACAACCCAGACCGCCAGCUAAGGUCCCAAAGUCAUGGUUAAGUGGGAAACGAUGUGGGAAGGCACAGACAGCCAGGAUGUUGGCUUAGAAGCAGCCAUCAUUUAAAGAAAGCGUAAUAGCUCACUGGUCGAGUCGGCCUGCGCGGAAGAUGUAACGGGGCUAAACCAUGCACCGAAGCUGCGGCAGCGACACUAUGUGUUGUUGGGUAGGGGAGCGUUCUGUAAGCCUGCGAAGGUGACCUGUGAGGGUUGCUGGAGGUAUCAGAAGUGCGAAUGCUGACAUAAGUAACGAUAAAGCGGGUGAAAAGCCCGCUCGCCGGAAGACCAAGGGUUCCUGUCCAACGUUAAUCGGGGCAGGGUGAGUCGACCCCUAAGGCGAGGCCGAAAGGCGUAGUCGAUGGGAAACAGGUUAAUAUUCCUGUACUUGGUGUUACUGCGAAGGGGGGACGGAGAAGGCUAUGUUAGCCGGGCGACGGUUGUCCCGGUUUAAGCAUGUAGGCUGGUUGUCCAGGCAAAUCCGGAUAAUCAAGGCUGAGGUGUGAUGACGAGGCACUACGGUGCUGAAGUAACAAAUGCCCUGCUUCCAGGAAAAGCCUCUAAGCAUCAGGUAACAUCAAAUCGUACCCCAAACCGACACAGGUGGUCAGGUAGAGAAUACCAAGGCGCUUGAGAGAACUCGGGUGAAGGAACUAGGCAAAAUGGUGCCGUAACUUCGGGAGAAGGCACGCUGGUGUGUAGGUGAAGUCCCUGCGGAUGGAGCUGAGACCAGUCGAAGAUACCAGCUGGCUGCAACUGUUUAUUAAAAACACAGCACUGUGCAAACACGAAAGUGGACGUAUACGGUGUGACGCCUGCCCGGUGCCGGAAGGUUAAUUGAUGGGGUUAUCCGUAAGGAGAAGCUCUUGAUCGAAGCCCCGGUAAACGGCGGCCGUAACUAUAACGGUCCUAAGGUAGCGAAAUUCCUUGUCGGGUAAGUUCCGACCUGCACGAAUGGCGUAAUGAUGGCCAGGCUGUCUCCACCCGAGACUCAGUGAAAUUGAACUCGCUGUGAAGAUGCAGUGUACCCGCGGCAAGACGGAAAGACCCCGUGAACCUUUACUAUAGCUUGACACUGAACAUUGAGCCUUGAUGUGUAGGAUAGGUGGGAGGCUUUGAAGCGUGGACGCCAGUCUGCGUGGAGCCAACCUUGAAAUACCACCCUUUAAUGUUUGAUGUUCUAACGUUGGCCCCUGACCGGGGUUGCGGACAGUGUCUGGUGGGUAGUUUGACUGGGGCGGUCUCCUCCCAAAGCGUAACGGAGGAGCACGAAGGUUAGCUAAUCCUGGUCGGACAUCAGGAGGUUAGUGCAAUGGCAUAAGCUAGCUUGACUGCGAGCGUGACGGCGCGAGCAGGUGCGAAAGCAGGUCAUAGUGAUCCGGUGGUUCUGAAUGGAAGGGCCAUCGCUCAACGGAUAAAAGGUACUCCGGGGAUAACAGGCUGAUACCGCCCAAGAGUUCAUAUCGACGGCGGUGUUUGGCACCUCGAUGUCGGCUCAUCACAUCCUGGGGCUGAAGUAGGUCCCAAGGGUAUGGCUGUUCGCCAUUUAAAGUGGUACGCGAGCUGGGUUUAGAACGUCGUGAGACAGUUCGGUCCCUAUCUGCCGUGGGCGCUGGAGAAUUGAGGGGGGCUGCUCCUAGUACGAGAGGACCGGAGUGGACGCAUCACUGGUGUUCGGGUUGUCAUGCCAAUGGCACUGCCCGGUAGCUAAAUGCGGAAGAGAUAAGUGCUGAAAGCAUCUAAGCACGAAACUUGCCCCGAGAUGAGUUCUCCCUGAGACUUUAAGUCUCCUGAAGGAACGUUGAAGACGACGACGUUGAUAGGCCGGGUGUGUAAGCGCAGCGAUGCGUUGAGCUAACCGGUACUAAUGAACCGUGAGGCUUAACCUU
RNAcentral lists this ribosomal RNA (2902 nucleotides) under Klebsiella pneumoniae. RNAcentral's name for it is "23S ribosomal RNA". It matches the Rfam family "Bacterial large subunit ribosomal RNA". The record is from RNAcentral. Lineage: Bacteria; Pseudomonadati; Pseudomonadota; Gammaproteobacteria; Enterobacterales; Enterobacteriaceae.